This is a non-coding RNA of Macaca mulatta (Rhesus monkey), 1792 nucleotides long. NCBI's taxonomy places the organism in Eukaryota, Metazoa, Chordata, Mammalia, Primates, Cercopithecidae. The record is from RefSeq and is a predicted model, not a curated record.
UGGUCUCGAUCUGCUUUUUAGUAGAGACGGGGUUUCACCGUGUUAGCCAGGAUGGUCUCGAUCUGCUGACCUCGUGAUCCACCCGUCUCGGCCUCCCAAAGUGCUGGGAUUACAGGCUUGAGCCACCGCGCCCGGCCAAUGAUGGACAUAAAUUUUUAAUACUUUACAUUCAAAUCAGAGGGUCAGUGAGGAACUUUUGAUCCCCAACCUUUAAACUUAUUAUUGUUUUCAUUGUGAAAGUAAUAUUAACCACAUUGAAAAACAUGAGGACAAUGUAUUUUCUUUUAGACCUUUUGCCCCAUCACAUAUAUUUUACUACACUGUGUAAUAGUAGUUGUAUGCGAUAUUGCAUCCUCUUUUCACUUUUAUAAGCAUUUCUCAUAUUUCUACAUAAGCUUCAUAACCAGUUUAACAGCUGCAUAAAAAUACAUUAAGUGGACAUAAAAUUUACUGCAUUAAUUCUCUAGUUUUGUACAUAAAUUGUUUCCUUCACUUUUUGCCAUUAUAAAGAAAUCAUAGAACAUCUUCAUGAAUGUAGAUUUUUAAAGACACCCAAAAGUGAAAUUACUAGGUGAAAAAGACUAUCAACAUUUUCACAGUUACUAAUACAAACUGCCAAAUUAUUUUUUAAAAGUUGUACCAAGUUACACUUAAACCAGCAACUUUGAUUUUAGCCAGUCCUUAACAAAAGUGCUUUUGUCCAAUUAUAAAACUACUCUUGUAAAAUAUAUGUGUAAAAUCUUAAAUAUUAAAACAUAAAAGCAAAAUAAAUAUAAAUAUUUCCCAUAAUCUCACCACCAAGAAAUAACCACUUAAUAUCUCCAUCUAGACCUUUAUCUAUACACAUAUUUUUAAUAAAAAUUGGAGAGGGGAAGGCCAGGCACGGUGGCUCACAUCUCAAAAAGAAAAAAAAAAUUAAGGAGGGGUGUUAUAUGGUAUACCUUGGCAUCAAACUGUAUGUCUGAUUUAAUAUAUGAUCAAUAUUAGCUCAAUAUAUCAUUAUCAUUUGAAGGUUCCUUAUGUCAUAGUUAGCUCAAAAUUGUAAAACUUCAAUCUAUCCUUUCAGAUUCAUCUUAAACACUGUCCUUCUUAAAACCUCUUGAUUCCGUCUGGGCAUGGUGGCUCACGCCUGUAAUCCCAGCACUUUGGGAGGCCGAGGCAGGCAGAUCACUUGAGGUGUUCUCUUGCUCUUCCACCUUAUACCGUGGGAUGACGUAGCAAGAAGCCCCUCAGGAGAUAUGAACCCCUUGACGUUGGACUUCCCAGCCUCCAGAACUAAUCCUGAUCUGCUACCCUAUCUGUGCUUCUGGGGAGGUGGGCCCAGAACCAUUGUGUGAAUAAUGAUCGACCUCAGCUAAUGGUUCUCAUGGAGUGAUUGAUUUUGCCUCCCAGAGGACAUCAGCAAUGUGUCUGGAGACAUUUCCAGUUGUCACUACUUGAGAGGAAGCACGCUCUGCAUCUAGAAGGGAGAGACCAGGGCUGCUACUGCUCAAUAUCCUAUAAUGCACAGAACAGCUUCUACGACAACGAGUUAUCCCACCAAAAAUGUCAGCAGUGCCAAGGUUGAGAGAACCUGCUCUAGGGUAAUCAGUGUGGUCCUAAUCUCCCUGUCAGUGACUGAUUCAACUCACAUAAUAGUCUUAUGGGAGUGUGAGGUAAUUCUAGCCAAUAAAGUGCAAUGGGAAGUUGGCUGAGAUACUUCUGAAAAAAAUCCUCUCUCAUUCCUAAAAAGAGACAUUCAUUUUCUGUUGAAAUGCAUUACUUUCUUAAAUAAAAUCAUAUUUACCCACAA